This 253-nucleotide ribosomal RNA is filed under the name uncultured bacterium. Its description in RNAcentral is "partial 16S ribosomal RNA". It matches the Rfam family "Bacterial small subunit ribosomal RNA", at positions 524 to 776 of the family's 1533-position model. The record is from RNAcentral.
UACGGAGGGUGCGAGCGUUGUUCGGAAUCACUGGGCGUAAAGCGCGUGUAGGCGGCUCUGUAAGUCUGGUGUGAAAUCCCGGGGCUCACCCCCGGAAGUGCACUGGAAACUGCGGAACUCGAGUCCCGGAGAGGAGAGUGGAAUUCCUGGUGUAGCGGUGAAAUGCGUAGAUAUCAGGAGGAACACCGGUGGCGAAGGCGGCUCUCUGGACGGUGACUGACGCUGAGACGCGAAAGCGUGGGGAGCAAACGGG